This 497-nucleotide ribosomal RNA is filed under the name uncultured bacterium. Its description in RNAcentral is "partial 16S ribosomal RNA". It matches the Rfam family "Bacterial small subunit ribosomal RNA", at positions 28 to 507 of the family's 1533-position model. The record is from RNAcentral.
GAUGAACGCUGGCGGCGUGCCUAAUACAUGCAAGUCGAGCGAACAGACGAGGAGCUUGCUCCUCUGACGUUAGCGGCGGACGGGUGAGUAACACGUGGAUAACCUACCUAUAAGACUGGGAUAACUUCGGGAAACCGGAGCUAAUACCGGAUAAUAUAUUGAACCGCAUGGUUCAAUAGUGAAAGCCGGUUUUGCUGUCACUUCUAGAUGGAUCCGCGCCGCAUUAGCUAGUUGGUACGGUAACGGCUUACCAAGGCAACUAUGCGUAGCCGACCUGAGAGGGGGAUCGGCCACACUGGAACUGAGACACGGUCCAGACUCCUACGGGAGGCAGCAGUAGGGAAUGUUCCGCAAUGGGCGAAAGCCUGACGGAGCAACGCCGCGUGAGUGAUGAAGGUCUUCGGAUCGUAAAACGCUGUUAUUAGUGAAGAACAAAUGUGUAAGUAACUAUGCACGUCUUGACGGUACCUAAUCAGAAAGCCACGGCUAACUACGUG